GACGAACGCUGGCGGCGUGCCUAAUACAUGCAAGUCGAACGCAGUGGGGAUGGGUGAGUAACACGUGGGUAACCUCCCAUCAGAGGGGAUAACCCUUGGAAACAGGUGCUAAACCGAUAUUGACUGAUGGACCCGCGGUGCAUUAGCCAGCUGGGGGGGUAACGGCUUACCAAGGCCACGAUGCAUAGCCGGCCUGAGAGGGUGAUCGGCCACACUGGGACUGAGACACGGCCCAGACUCCGACGGGAGGCAGCAGUGGGGAAUCUUCGACAAUGGACGAAAGUCUGACCGAGCAACGCCGCGUGAGUGAAGAAGGUUUUCGGAUCGUAAAACUCUGUUGUUGGAGAGGCGGUAUCUAACCAGGAAGCCACGGCUAACUACGUGCCAGCAGCCGCGGUAAUAC
RNAcentral lists this ribosomal RNA (403 nucleotides) under uncultured bacterium. RNAcentral's name for it is "partial 16S ribosomal RNA". It matches the Rfam family "Bacterial small subunit ribosomal RNA", at positions 28 to 526 of the family's 1533-position model. The record is from RNAcentral.